Molecule: long non-coding RNA, 1311 nt
Organism: Oncorhynchus tshawytscha (Chinook salmon)
Lineage: Eukaryota; Metazoa; Chordata; Actinopteri; Salmoniformes; Salmonidae
Source: Ensembl
GUUGUAUAUCAUAUCCUCCGUGUUGUAUAUCAUAUCCUCCGUGUUGUAUAUCAUAUCCUCCGUGUUGUAUAUCAUAUCCUCCAUGUUGUAUAAAAUAUCCUCCAUGUUGUAUAUCAUAUUUGACAGUUGUCUGUUCACGCUUACAGACACCUACAGUAUGUGCCUUUAUGCGUCAGUUUGGACAUAUUCUGCACUUUAUUGCUAGUGAUUUGUCUGGAAAAUGCUCAAAGACUUACAGAAUAUAAUAUAAUAUAACUAUUGCAUUAUAUUCCAGGAGUCCAAUUCUUAUUUAGAUAGGCCUUGAUUUUUUUGUUGAUAUGCAGGGAGAACGACCAUGGCUUUGGUUUGUUCCAAAUCAUUGAUUAGUUAUACUUCAGUAACAGAGUCCCUUUCACUCAUCGAGGGUUGAUCGACUGAUAUAACAGCAUUACAGAAUUUAAACUGAACUGAAAAUGUAUUGGGGAUGCAUGAGAUGGACUAUGAUUGAGUUGCAACAGGAGAGAGCAGUUCACAACAAGGUAUAAUGUAGAGAUCUAAUGUCCCCCUGUACGUUUAUAUCAAGGUAUAAUGUAGAGAUCUAAUGUUCCCCUGUACCUUUAGAUCAAGGUAUAAUGUAGAGGUCUAAUGUUCCCCUGUACCUUUAGAUCAAGGUAUAAUGUGGAGGCCUAACUCUUACAUAGACAACCCACUUUUUUAUAAACUAUUCACAGCAGCUUUCCCUUGAUAUUACCACAGCACUGUCCAGAAUGAACGGUGGGCGGGUGUGGGAUGGUCACCCAAUACCGCAUCCAGAUCUGAAUCAACUGGACACCGGGUUCUACCGCUCCCAUCCAGAUCUGAAUCAACUGGACACCGGGUUCUACCGCUCCCAUCCAGAUCUGAAUCAACUGGACACCGGGUUCUUCCGUUCCCAUCCAGAUCUGAAUCAACUGGACACUGGGUUCGUCCGGUUUUUAAUGAAGACCAAGAUCUUAUUUCUGUAUGAAUUGUAGCGGUAUCGUUGUCCAUAAUUGUGGUGCUUUCAAGACAACUGGGAACUGGAAAAAAAACAAGGUCAAAUAAUGACGUCAGUGAUCUUCAGGUUGGAAAGUCGGAGCUCUAGAAAGAUGGUCGAGUUUCCAACUUGGAAUUCCGAGUUGGAUGACCGUUCGAAACAAUUUUUUUCCCAGUUGAAGCUCCAAGUUGUCUUGAACGCACUGACGUCGGAAGCCGGAGAUAUCCAAGUUCCCGAAUUCCGAGUUCCCAGUUGUUUUGAAUGCGGCAUUACUACCUCAACUGGCCGGUGUGACUUAUUUGAGAGGACCAAAUGUA